GGACUACCAGGGUUUCUAAUCCUUCUCAUUACCCUAGGCUUCGUACCUCAACGUCAGUUCUUACAUAGAAAGCUGCCUUCGCCGUUACCCGUCCCUUUAGUAUAAUAAAAUUUAAACUCUCCUCUAAAAAUUCGGACUUUCUUAUAUAAAACUCUAGAAAAUUAGUUCCUUUAUUAGGCUUAAUUUUCCGUCUAAGUACCCUUUAAACCUUUUAAAGAUGAAUAACACUUGUUUUAUACGUAUUACCGCGGCUGCUGGCAC
This 261-nucleotide ribosomal RNA is filed under the name uncultured bacterium. RNAcentral describes it as "partial 16S ribosomal RNA". The record is from RNAcentral.